RNAcentral lists this long non-coding RNA (1034 nucleotides) under Nicotiana tabacum (common tobacco). RNAcentral's name for it is "long non-coding RNA (NTAB_LNC012771)". Lineage: Eukaryota; Viridiplantae; Streptophyta; Magnoliopsida; Solanales; Solanaceae. The record is from RNAcentral.
CUUCUACCAAAACAAGAAAAUUCAAAAAAAGAGGUCAGCGGUUGUUCUCGAACUCUAUCCCCAGCCCAUCAGCAUUAGGGUUUUAAACCCUAAAUUGAACUUUUUUCCUUUAGCCAGCAUUAGGGUUUUAAACCCUAAACUGAGCUUUUUCAUGCAAUCAGCAUUAGGGUUUUAAACCCUAAGCUGAAUUUUCCUUUUAGUCAGCAUUAGGGUUUUAAAACCCUAAACUGAACUUUUUCCAUUCAGCCAGCAUAAGGGUUUUAAACCCUAAACUGAGCUUUUCCAUGCAGUCAGCAUUAGGGUUUUAAACCCUAAGCUGAAUUUUCCUUUUAAUCAGCAUUAAGGUUUUAAACCCUAAACUGAACUUUUUCCUUUCAGCCAGCAUUAGGGUUUUAAACCCUAAACUGAGCUUUUCCAUGCAGUCAGCAUUAGGGUUUUAAACCCUAAGCUGAAUUUUCCUUUUAGUCAGCAUUAGGGUUUUAAACCCUAAACUGAACUUUUUCCAUUCAGCCAGCAUUAGGGUUUUAAACCCUAAACUGAGCUUUUCCAUGCAGUCAGCAUUAGGGUUUUAAACCCUAAACUGAAUUUUCCUUUUAGUCAGCAUUAGGGUUUUAAACCCUAAACUGAAUUUUUUCCAUUCAGCCAGCAUUAGGGUUUUAAACCCCAAACUGAGCUUUUCCUUCCAGUCAGCAUUAGGGUUUUAAACCCUAAACUGAAUUUUUCCUUCCAAUCAGCAUUAGGGUUUUAAAUCCUAAACUGAAUUUUUCCCCUUCAGUCAGCAUUAGGGUUUUAAACCCUAAACUGAACUUUUUCCAUUCAGCCAGCAUUAGGGUUUUAAACCCUAAAAUGAGCUUUUCCAUGCAGUCAGCAUUAGGGUUUUAAACCCUAAGCUGAAUUUUCCUUUUAAUCAGCAUUAGGGUUUUAAACCCUAAACUGAACUUUUUCCCAUUCAGCCAUCAUUAGGGUUUUAAACCCCAAAUUGAGCUUUUCCUUCUAGUCAGCAUUAGGGUUUUAAACCCUAAACUGAAUUUUCC